Molecule: ribosomal RNA, 395 nt
Filed under: uncultured bacterium
Lineage: Bacteria
Description: partial 16S ribosomal RNA
Rfam family: Bacterial small subunit ribosomal RNA
Source: RNAcentral
AUACGUAGGGUGCAAGCGUUAAUCGGAAUUACUGGGCGUAAAGCGUGCGCAGGCGGUUUUUUAAGUCUGAGGUGAAAUCCCCGGGCUCAACCUGGGAACUGUCUUUGAGACUGGAAGGCUAGAGGACGGCAGAGGGGGAUGGAAUUCCGCGUGUUGCAGUGAAAUGCGUAGAUAUGCGGAGGAACACCGAUGGCGAAGGCAAUCCCCUGGGCCUGUACUGACGCUCAUGCACGAAAGCGUGGGGAGCAAACAGGAUUAGAUACCCUGGUAGUCCACGCCCUAAACGAUGUCAACUGGUUGUUGGGUCUUCAUUGACUCAGUAACGAAGCUAACGCGUGAAGUUGACCGCCUGGGGAGUACGGCCGCAAGGUUGAAACUCAAAUGAAUUGACGGGG